This 179-nucleotide non-coding RNA is filed under the name Geobacillus thermodenitrificans. Its description in RNAcentral is "Lysine sequence". It matches the Rfam family "Lysine riboswitch aptamer". From Rfam's summary of the family: Riboswitches are metabolite binding domains within certain messenger RNAs that serve as precision sensors for their corresponding targets. Allosteric rearrangement of mRNA structure is mediated by ligand binding, and this results in modulation of gene expression. The record is from RNAcentral. Lineage: Bacteria; Bacillati; Bacillota; Bacilli; Caryophanales; Anoxybacillaceae.
CAAUGGGAUAGAGGUUGCGAUGAAUAAAAGUAGUUUCGCUGAGGCUGGAGCACUGAUGAAGCGAAAUGAAAGGAUUCAUCGCCGAAGUUUGCGACGCGCUCCGGCGGCGCAAGCUGGGCCUGCGGCCGAACAGGUGCAGGACUGCCAUCGUUCUAGAACGAUGGAGCGCUAUCGCAUUC